RNAcentral lists this ribosomal RNA (234 nucleotides) under uncultured bacterium. Its description in RNAcentral is "partial 16S ribosomal RNA". It matches the Rfam family "Bacterial small subunit ribosomal RNA", at positions 99 to 334 of the family's 1533-position model. The record is from RNAcentral.
CGCACGGGUGAGUAACACGUAUCCAACCUGCCGUCUACUCUUGACAGCCUUCUGAAAGGAAGAUUAAUACAAGAUGGCAUCAUGAGUCCGCAUGUUCACAUGAUUAAAGGUAUUCCGGUAGACGAUGGGGAUGCGUUCCAUUAGAUAGUAGGCGGGGUAACGGCCCACCUAGUCUUCGAUGGAUAGGGGUUCUGAGAGGAAGGUCCCCCACAUUGGAACUGAGACACGGUCCAA